This is a long non-coding RNA of Cimex lectularius (bed bug), 526 nucleotides long. RefSeq lists it as uncharacterized. The record is from RefSeq and is a predicted model, not a curated record. The transcript has 2 exons. Lineage: Eukaryota; Metazoa; Arthropoda; Insecta; Hemiptera; Cimicidae.
ACGAACUGAAACAUUUUGCAUAGCGAAAGUUCAUUUUAGUUAUCGCGUAGAGCUAAAAAACUUAAAAGACAGACUAAAUAACACCCAUCAAAUUAUUUUAGGGAAAUGGAAACUACAUAGCAAACCUCAAAAAGAAAAACCAAGAACUCGUAGCAAAUCAGACAUAAAUCUUCAACAUGACGUUCUGAAAGGACUUCGUAAGCCCAAGCAAGGACAAGCACGCGAGAAAGAUGCACAGAUCCGGCCAAUCAAGUUGGUAUCUUGUAGAUAACCUUCUGACGGGCAAAAUAGCGAGAACAAGCGGACAAACGUUCGGCGCCCGAUCAAAAUAGCUUCAAAAUAUAGAAAAACAGAAAUGAGAACCCUUCACCGACUGUUUUAGCGCACACUAUCAGCCGGCUGGAUAUUGUUGACGAAAUUUUAUUUAAACGUUUACAAGGCGAUAGAAAUUUUACGGGUUUUGUCUAUUCUUCUUAUUUUAAUCUAAUUUUCAUUAUUCAAAGACUGAUUAAAAAUUUUAUGCUUA